Molecule: ribosomal RNA, 1664 nt
Filed under: Thermoanaerobacter pseudethanolicus ATCC 33223
Lineage: Bacteria; Bacillati; Bacillota; Clostridia; Thermoanaerobacterales; Thermoanaerobacteraceae
Description: bacterial LSU rRNA
Rfam family: Bacterial large subunit ribosomal RNA
Source: RNAcentral
GGUAGGGGAGCGUACUGUACGGGUAGAAGGCAAAGCGUAAGCUAAGCUGGACUGUACAGUAGAGAGAAUGCCGGCAUGAGUAACGAGAGUAAGGUGAGAAACCUUACCGCCGGAAGCCUGAGGUUUCCUGGGGAAGGGUAAUCCACCCAGGGUAAGUCGGGGCCUAAGCCGAGGCUUAAAGCGUAGGCGAUGGGGAACCGGUAGAUAUUCCGGUACCACCGAGGGCCGCAAAGAGAGGCGGGGACGCAGCGAGAUAGGUGGAGCGUGCGGUUGGUAGGGCACGUCCAAUCAGGCACCGAAGGGUACGUAGGCAAAUCCGCGUACUGGCAGGGGUCUGAGAAGGGGAGCCGGAAGGCGAAGCCACCGAAGCAGCUGCCGAGAAAAGCCGCUAUCGAGGCCUGAGGUGCCCGUACUACAAACCGACACAGGUAGGCGAGGAGAGAAUCCACAGGCGAGCGGGAGAACCCUCAUUAAGGAACUCGGCAAAAUGACUCCGUAACUUCGGGAGAAGGAGUGCCGAAAGGCCGCAGAGAAGAGGCCCAAGCGACUGUUUACCAAAAACACAGGUCUCUGCUAAGUCGGAAGACGAAGUAUAGGGGCUGACGCCUGCCCGGUGCUGGAAGGUUAAGGGGAAGUGUGAGAGCACUGAACCGAAGCCCCAGUGAACGGCGGCCGUAACUAUAACGGUCCUAAGGUAGCGAAAUUCCUUGUCGGGUAAGUUCCGACCCGCACGAAAGGCGUAACGACUUGGGCGCUGUCUUGAUGAGGGGCCCGGUGAAAUUGUAGUACUCGUGAAGAUGCGAGUUACCCGCGAUUGGACAGAAAGACCCCGUGGAGCUUUACUGUAGCCUGUCACUGGAUUUUGGUAAUUCUUGUACAGGAUAGGUGGGAGACAGAGAAGGUAGGGCGCCAGCCUUACUGGAGUCGACGUUGGGAUACCACCCUGGGAUUACCGGAAUUCUAACCUAUAGCCGUGAAACCGGCGUAGGGACAAUGGCAGGUGGGCAGUUUGACUGGGGCGGUCGCCUCCUAAAGGGUAACGGAGGCGCCCAAAGGUUACCUCAGCGCGGACGGGAAUCGCGCGAAAGAGUGCAAAGGCAGAAGGUAGCCUGACUGCGAGAGAGACAUCUCGAGCAGGGACGAAAGUCGGGCUUAGUGAUCCGGCGGCAGUGAGUGGGAACGCCGUCGCUCAACGGAUAAAAGCUACCCCGGGGAUAACAGGCUGAUCUCCCCCAAGAGUCCACAUCGACGGGGAGGUUUGGCACCUCGAUGUCGGCUCAUCGCAUCCUGGGGCUGAAGUAGGUCCCAAGGGUUGGGCUGUUCGCCCAUUAAAGCGGUACGCGAGCUGGGUUCAGAACGUCGUGAGACAGUUCGGUCCCUAUCCGUCGCGGGCGUAGGAAACUUGAGAGGCACUGCCCCUAGUACGAGAGGACCGGGGUGGACGAACCGAUGGUGUACCAGUUGCACCGCCAGGUGCACAGCUGGGUAGCCAAGUUCGGAAGGGAUAAACGCUGAAAGCAUCUAAGCGUGAAGCCCGCCUCAAGAUUAGGUUUCCCAUCCGAGAGGGGUAAGACACCUCGAAGACCACGAGGUAGAUAGGCCGGGGGUGUAAGAGUGGAAACACUCUUAGCUGACCGGUACUAAUCAGUCGAGGACUUGACCGA